GGGAUCUCUUUCCUGUAACACUAACAUGGGCGUGAUGCUCGAGUGGCAUAGACUGCUUUACAGAUGCGAGGGUGAACACCAAUACGAAGUAUGGAAGAGCAGAAAACCAGGAGACAUCUGGGUCCCUGAGGCCACUAUGGAGCUGCACUAGUGGCAUUGGACUGCUCACCUCUAGACUUUUUAAGGUGAGAAAAAUAAAGCCAGUAAUUUGUUGUUUAAUCUGCUGUUUUUUGGAUCCUUUUUUUUUUUGCAGCUUAACAAUAUUUAUUAAGUGAUAAGCUCACAGGGUUGAGGAUCAAAAGAGAACCAUCUAUGUGAAGAGUAUAAAACAGUUCUUGACACACAGGAAGUGGCCAGUCAAUGAUAACUAUUAUUUUUGGGAGAUUAUCUGACUACCAGCAGAGAACAAAAAUCAAACAGAAUAAACAACUUGGGAAGGGAAGAAAAGGGCUGAACAGAAGUGAUGAUAGGGUGAUAAAAAAUUCAGAAUCAUAGAGCCAAACAAGGUACAUAAGUGGUCUGACAUAUAGUACAUAAUCAAUAUGUAUAAUUCCUUUUCCUAUCCUAUCUGUGAGAACACAAACUAAUGCCAUUUAGUCACGAGAACCUUGAUCAACAAGGAAGACCAGACUAACCAAGAAGAUUUUAGGACUCUGAGAAGUAAAGAUUGUAUUUAUAAGGUUAUUUAUAUUUGAGCGAGACAUUCCACUCAAUGUCUCUUUUAUUCCUGCUUAUGUAAUACUGUCAAGAUAUAAAUCAAAGAAAUACACAAAAGAGAUACUGAUAAACAAAAUGUCACUAAAAAAGAUGGCACAGAUUGGUCAGCCAUCUUAAUGACUCAUUAAUGGCUUAAUGACUCAUUAAGCCAUCUUAAUGACCUUAAUACUAGGUCCUAGAGGAAUAGAAAGUUGCUAAAUAGAAAAAUCUAUUUUGAAACCAAAUUGUUCAUAACAUUUGUCAAUCCACAGAAAUAAUACAAUAGAAUUUGAACAAAUGGGCAGAGAACUCAACAUAUUUAACUUCAGAAAUGCACCAGAAAAAAAAAAAAAAGUAUGGCUGGGCACAGUGGCUCAUGCCUGCAAUCCCAGCACUUUGGGAGGCCGAGGCAGGUGGAUCACGAGGUCAAGAGAUUAAGACCAUCCUGGCCAACACAGUGAAACCCCAUCUCUACUAAAAAUACAAAAAUUAGCUGGGCAUGGUGGCGCACGCCUGUAGUGCCAGCUACUUGGGAGGCUGAAGCAGGAGAAUUGCUUGAACCCGGGAGGCGGAGGUUGCAGUGAGUGAGAUUGUGCCAUUGCACUCCAGCCUGGCGACAGAGCGAGACUCCUUCUCGGAAAAAAAAAAAAAAGAAAAAAAAGUAUGAUGAAAAGAAAACAUGUGAAGAGCUGGAAAAGUAGGACCAGAUCAGAGAAUAAUGUUUACAAUAUGUGGGAAAGGAAAAAAAGUCGAUAUUUGUGGUCACCUUGAAAGGAAUUUAUGACAAUGUAGUACCUGAUUCCAAUUCAACAAAAGCUGGAGAGUUUAAAAAAACUAUGAAAAUACAGUCUUUCUUUUUUGUUUUUUUAAAAAAAGACUUAAAUACUAGACACUGAUAUGACCUAGAGAAGAGCAAUUGAUGAAGAAAAAUCUGUAAUGAUUAACAUGAAGUCACUGCUCAAUGUAAAUACCAAGGGAAGAUGAAGUAAAAAGAAAAGAACUGAAAGGCAACAAAUCACAGACUACAACUAUUGUAUUUUCAAAAUUGUAUUAGGUAUCACUACAUAAAGUAAAAACUCUUAA
Molecule: long non-coding RNA, 1779 nt
Filed under: Homo sapiens (human)
Lineage: Eukaryota; Metazoa; Chordata; Mammalia; Primates; Hominidae
Description: HSALNT0248823
Source: RNAcentral